This 301-nucleotide ribosomal RNA is filed under the name uncultured bacterium. Its description in RNAcentral is "partial 16S ribosomal RNA". It matches the Rfam family "Bacterial small subunit ribosomal RNA", at positions 509 to 807 of the family's 1533-position model. The record is from RNAcentral.
CAGCCGCCGCGGUAAUACGUAGGGUGCAAGCGUUAAUCGGAGUUACUGGGCGUAAAGCGUGCGCAGGCGGUUUGUUAAGACAGAUGUGAAAUCCCCGGGCUCAACCUGGGAACUGCAUUUGUGACUGGCAAGCUAGAGUGUGGCAGAGGGGGGUUGAAUUCCGCGUGUAGCAGUGAAAUGCGUAGAUAUGCGGAGGAACACCGAUGGCGAAGGCAGCCCCCUGGGCCAACACUGACGCUCAUGCACGAAAGCGUGGGGAGCAAACAGGAUUAGAUACCCCCGUAGUCCCUGUCUCUUAUAC